CCUACGGGAGGCAGCAGUGAGGAAUAUUGGUCAAUGGCCGUAAGGCUGAACCAGCCAAGUCGCGUGAAGGAAGACGGCUCUAUGGGUUGUAAACUUCUUUUAUAAGGGAAUAAAGGUAUCCACGUGUGGCUAUUUGCAUGUACCCUAUGAAUAAGCAUCGGCUAACUCCGUGCCAGCAGCCGCGGUAAUACGGAGGAUGCGAGCGUUAUCCGGAUUUAUUGGGUUUAAAGGGUGCGUAGGUGGGUUUUUAAGUCAGCGGUGAAAGUUUGUGGCUCAACCGUAAAAUUGCCAUUGAUACUGGCAGACUUGAGUGUAGUUGAGGUAGGCGGAAUGCGUGGUGUAGCGGUGAAAUGCAUAGAUAUCACGCAGAACUCCGAUUGCGAAGGCAGCUUACUAAGCUAUAACUGACACUGAAGCACGAAAGCGUGGGGAUCAAACAGGAUUAGAUACCCUAGUAGUC
RNAcentral lists this ribosomal RNA (460 nucleotides) under uncultured bacterium. RNAcentral's name for it is "partial 16S ribosomal RNA". It matches the Rfam family "Bacterial small subunit ribosomal RNA", at positions 338 to 795 of the family's 1533-position model. The record is from RNAcentral.